RNAcentral lists this long non-coding RNA (757 nucleotides) under Homo sapiens (human). Its description in RNAcentral is "HSALNT0360461". The record is from RNAcentral. Lineage: Eukaryota; Metazoa; Chordata; Mammalia; Primates; Hominidae.
UCAUAAUACAUGCAAUGAUGACAAAGCCAGGUGAAAAGGCGAUGAUGGUCAUUAAGUUCAAGAUGGGGAGGGGUUGGGGUGAGGGCUGGCCUGUCUGAGGAGGGGCAUUUGCAGUGCUGGAGCAAGCCAUGGAGGACAGGAAUUGCUCCAGUCAGAGGAACAGCAAGGACAAGGGGCCCAAGACGGCAUGUACUAGAGGCUCCACGCAUAGAAAAAGCCAGCCAUCCCCAGCGCUGUAACUGAGUGGCCAGUGGUGGGAGGUACUGUGUCACGCAAGGUGCUGAGUGCUUUACCUGUGGUGUCUUAUUUGACCUUCACAAGCACCCUGAGAGGAAGUUAAGGAUAUUAUCCUUUUCAGCACUGGUCUUUGUAAUAGUUAAUUUUAUGCAUCAACUUGACUGGAUCACAGUGUGCCCAGAUAUUUGAUCAAACAUUAUUCUGAGUGUUUCCGUGACAAUGUUUUUGGAUACAAUCAACAUUUAUUUAAUUGGUUGAAGACCUGAAUAGAACAAAGAGUUCAAUUCUCUCAAGUAAGAGAAUUCCUCCUGUCUGACUACUUCAGAAUUGGGACAUUGGCUUUUUCCUGCCUCUACACUACAACUACACCAUCAAGCCUUCAGACAUGGAAAGGAACCACACUAUUGGCUCUCCUCGGUCUUCAGCUUGCCAACUCAAUGCAGAUCUUUGCAUUUGUCAGCCUUAUAACCAUGUGAGCUAAUUCCCUAAAAUAAAUGUCCUCAUUUAAAUGUAUUUCCUA